RNAcentral lists this long non-coding RNA (1331 nucleotides) under Anas platyrhynchos platyrhynchos (common mallard). RNAcentral describes it as "lncRNA (ENSAPLG00000019886.1)". Lineage: Eukaryota; Metazoa; Chordata; Aves; Anseriformes; Anatidae. The record is from RNAcentral.
UGGUUGCUAGGGAGAUACUGCUCUGAUAAUGCGAACACUUUCACAUUUUUCUGGACAAAUGUCUGCAGAUCACAUCUUGAUUUUGUGUUAUCCCUCCUUUCUAUCCCCUGCAUUGUGGCCUGGACUCUUGCACAUGGCGCUACCUGUUUGUUAUGAAGACAUCAGCAAAUCCAUCUUGAAGUCAGGAAGCGCAACAAAGUCAUUCUUCAAGAAAAAUGCCUUCCUGGGAGAGAUACAGCUAAACACAGAUGGAAGUCAUUUAUGAAAGAAUUGCAUCUUUUCACAUCUUUUACCUCAAAAAGUUAGACAUUAUCAUGAAUUCUCAUUGAAAGCCAAAAAACACCGUUACUUAGUUUUGGACAUAGCCAAAUUUCAUUUUUGCUGAGAUUCCAGAUAAGGUGAGGUGUACUAAGAAAACAUUCUUUAAAUGAGAUUUUUUUUUUUUUUUUUUUUCUGCUUAGAAACAGCUGACUGUUCUCUGGCCUACUCUAUCUUUUGCAGGCAGGUGCUUACAAAUAAGUGCUGUUUGAAAUGACCUGAUAUAGAACAGGUUUGAUGCAAAGUCACAGCAUCUGUGACAUUAAGUCGCAGCUAAGAAACCUUCAGUAGUACUUAACACUUCAAACUCUACCACCAACACCAUCACAUCCAGCUUGGGUUGAUCUUAGAAGACUCUAUGCAACAAACCUCUACUUGUGUUUUUUUGCUUAAGCAAGCUAGAAUACCAGUGUCUAGUUCUAUUUUAUUUAUUUUAUUUAAAAAAGUUAUUUUUAUUGUCCCUGACAGUACUGGUCAACUUUAACUCUAUUCGAGCUUUGGAAACAUGAAUUUUCACCCUACAAUGGUGAACAACACCUCUUUAGUCCUCCCAGGUUGCCACACUGUCCUGGUUUCAGUUAGGACAGAGUUAAUUUUCUUCCUAGUAGCUGGUAGAAUGCUAUGUUUUGGCUUAGGAUGAGAAGAGUGCUGAUAAUACCCUGAUGUUUUAAUUGUUGCAGAGCAGUGCUUACACCAAGCCAAGGACGUCUCAGCUUCUUGCUCUGUCCUGCCAAUGGGCAGGCUGGGGAUGCAGUAAGAGCUGGGAGGGGACAGACCCAAACUAGCCAAAGGGGUAUUCCAUACCAUCUAACGUAAUGUUAAACAAUAUAUAGGGGUGGCUAGCCGGAGGAGGGGGGCCAGACUGCUCAGGGUUAGGCUGGCAUUGGUCAGCGGGUGGUGAGCAAUUGCAUUGUACAUCACGUUUUUGUACACAUUAUUAGUAGUAGUACUAUUAUCAUCAUUAUUGUUAUUAUUAUUUUCCUGUCUUAAUAAACUGUCUUUAUCUCAACUCA